Non-coding RNA from Chelonoidis abingdonii (Abingdon island giant tortoise), 700 nucleotides. Lineage: Eukaryota; Metazoa; Chordata; Testudines; Testudinidae. The record is from RefSeq and is a predicted model, not a curated record.
GGAAGGAGAAGAUCUUGCCACUUGCCAAAUGCUCCUGGAGCAGAGAGAAGUUCCCAUGCAUGUGAGACAAGGUCCUGCAGCUUCAUGGCUUUGGUGGGGAUGACGAGGCUCCUGCCCUCAUGGCUGGCAUUGAUGUGGAUGUAGAAGGUACGGAACUGGAUGAUCUCGCUGUGGUUGAACCAGCAGCCUGUGUUGAUGCCCUCCUCCUGGAGGUCAGGUAUUGAUCGUUGAAGACGAUGCACUCCACGCCUGCAAGGGAAAGCAUAUUUUGUGGCUGAGUGACCUGCUCAAUUCAGCUGCAGAAUCAGGACUAACCCCAGAAGCCCUGUCGCCCAACCCCUGCUCUGCCCACUAGCCCACACUUUAAAGGAAGUGUAUUGCAAAGCCAGCGCUGUGUCAGAGGGGAGCAUGCGAAUGGCCGACCCACCAGGGAAGAGGAUUCCUGAGGCGGGGUGGGGGUUCAGACUGCAGCAUGUACAGACAUUCUGUGGGCUAGGCAUGUGGGGAGCAGGUGGUACAGAGGAGGCUCAAGUCCCUGCCUUUCUAACCCACAGAAGAGGAUUUAUGUAAAUUUUUCAGCUAACUUGGUUCACUGCUUUGGGGUUAUGUGUGCAUCCAGAAUGCCCUCUCUCCAUAUGCUAUGCUUGCAGGGCCGGCGCUUCCAUUUAGGCAGCCUAGGCAAUCGCCUAGGGUGCCAGGA